GUAGGUGAACCUGCGGAAGGAUCAUUACAGAGUGAGGGUCUACUCGGCCCGACCUCCCAACCCUUUGAUUACCGAACCUCUGUUGCUUCGGUGGGCCCGUCCUUCACGGACCGCCGGAGGAGUCGCCGCGAGGCGUCCUCUGGCCCGCUGCCCACCGACAGCCAACCACUACAAACUCGAAAUAAUCGUGUCACGCGUCUAAGUCAAUUGAUAAAAUUAAAGCAAAACUUUCAACAACGGAUCUCUUGGU
Molecule: unclassified non-coding RNA, 250 nt
Filed under: plant metagenome
Description: partial contains small subunit ribosomal RNA, internal transcribed spacer 1, and 5.8S ribosomal RNA
Source: RNAcentral